RNAcentral lists this ribosomal RNA (255 nucleotides) under uncultured bacterium. Its description in RNAcentral is "partial 16S ribosomal RNA". It matches the Rfam family "Bacterial small subunit ribosomal RNA", at positions 524 to 776 of the family's 1533-position model. The record is from RNAcentral.
UACGUAGGGAGCAAGCGUUUGUUCGGAUUUACUGGGCGUAAAGGGCGCGUAGGCGGCAAAUUAAGUCAGCUGUGAAAUCUCCGAGCUUAACUCGGAACGGUCAGCUGAUACUGAUCUGCUAGAGUGCGGAAGGGGCAAUCGGAAUUCUUGGUGUAGCGGUGAAAUGCGUAGAUAUCAAGAGGAACACCUGAGGUGAAGACGGGUUGCUGGGCCGACACUGACGCUGAGUGCGCGAAAGCCAGGGGAGCAAACGGG